Molecule: ribosomal RNA, 632 nt
Filed under: uncultured bacterium
Lineage: Bacteria
Description: bacterial SSU rRNA
Rfam family: Bacterial small subunit ribosomal RNA (bases 1-543)
Source: RNAcentral
CCUACGGGAGGCAGCAGUGGGGAAUUUUGGACAAUGAGGGCAACCCUGAUCCAGCAAUGCCGCGUGAGUGAAGAAGGCCUUCGGGUUGUAAAGCUCUUUUGUCAGGAAAGAAAUCGUUCUGGAUAAUACCUGGGACGGAUGACGGUACCUGAAGAAUAAGCACCGGCUAACUACGUGCCAGCAGCCGCGGUAAUACGUAGGGUGCAAGCGUUAAUUGGAAUUACUGGGCGUAAAGCGUGCGCAGGCGGUUGUGCAAGACAGAUGUGAAAUCCCCGGGCUUAACCUGGGAACUGCAUUUGUGACUGCACGGCUAGAGUGUGUCAGAGGGGGGUAGAAUUCCACGUGUAGCAGUGAAAUGCGUAGAUAUGUGGAGGAAUACCGAUGGCGAAGGCAGCCCCCUGGGAUAACACUGACGCUCAUGCACGAAAGCGUGGGGAGCAAAACAGGAUUAGAUACCCUGGUAGUCCACGCCCUAAACGAUGUCAACUAGUUGUCGGGUCUUAAUUGACUUGGUAACGCAGCUAACGCGUGAAGUUGACCGCCGUGGGGGNGGACGGUCGCGAGAAGUAAAACGUUAAAAGUAAAGUUAGUACGACGUGAGACGUAGACGACGACGACGACGAGGGAGGAGG